GGGAAUGUGGCUCAGUGGUAGAGUGCUUGCCUAGCAUGCAUGAAGCCCUGGGUUUGAUUCCUCAGUAUCUCA
Molecule: transfer RNA, 72 nt
Filed under: Dipodomys ordii (Ord's kangaroo rat)
Lineage: Eukaryota; Metazoa; Chordata; Mammalia; Rodentia; Heteromyidae
Rfam family: tRNA
About the family: Transfer RNA (tRNA) molecules are approximately 80 nucleotides in length.
Source: Rfam by way of RNAcentral